Molecule: long non-coding RNA, 563 nt
Filed under: Phoenix dactylifera (date palm)
Lineage: Eukaryota; Viridiplantae; Streptophyta; Magnoliopsida; Arecales; Arecaceae
Description: long non-coding RNA (PDAC_LNC021647)
Source: RNAcentral
UCAAUCAGAGUCAUACAAUAUUCUAAAAAUAUACAUAUAAUCCAUGCAUCAAAUUCAUAAUCACGAAUAAUUCGAUUCGUAAAACAGAUAUUUAGUUUGCCGAUAAAUCUAGUAAAGAGGUUACAUCACUUACCUUGCGAACGCGAUCCACAACAAAUCCAAUUAAUUCCGCAAAUCCCUCGCAGAACCUAAUAUUCAAAAACCAUAUUUUCUUUUAAAAUUCAUCACAAUAUAUAUAUAAAACCUAAAUUUUAACAUUCUCCCAGGGCCGACCCUGCCGAAGUGUCUAGCACCCCGGGUUCAGGUUCGGAUCCGGGUUCAUACCCGUAAACCACCCCCUCUCUUUAUUAUUUAUUUAUUAUAUUUUUUUUCUUUUCUUCUUUCUUCUUUUCUUCUUUUCUCUUUUCUUUUUUUCCCUUUUUCCUUCUUUGCUUUUUCUUUUCCCUUCCUCUCCUUUUCUUUUUCUUUUCUUCUCUUCUUCUCCAGAAACUUCUCCCGACUUCUUUCUUCUUCUCUCUUCUCUGUUUCUUCUCCUUUCCCCGCUUCUUCCUUUCUUCUUUUCC